This 256-nucleotide long non-coding RNA is filed under the name Selaginella moellendorffii. Its description in RNAcentral is "long non-coding RNA (SMOE_LNC002446)". Lineage: Eukaryota; Viridiplantae; Streptophyta; Lycopodiopsida; Selaginellales; Selaginellaceae. The record is from RNAcentral.
CUCCAGUUGCAAUCUUGUUGAUUCCCUCGAUGGCUUCUGCCGCCGCGAAAGCCCAGCUACCAUCUUUCCAUCCAUGCCAUAAUAUAAAUAUAAAGUGAGAAAGCAGGAUUGAAGCUGAAGUCCAAGACUUACUCUGGCAUCCUUUGCGAUCUUUCACAGGUGUGACAGCCCCCAAAGUCCUCCAGUCGAUGGAUUUGGGGACAGAGUCGACGUCGCCAAACAUUCGGAUCCCUGCAUCCCCCUCCAGAGUACUAUC